This 315-nucleotide ribosomal RNA is filed under the name uncultured bacterium. RNAcentral describes it as "bacterial SSU rRNA". It matches the Rfam family "Bacterial small subunit ribosomal RNA", at positions 29 to 334 of the family's 1533-position model. The record is from RNAcentral.
AACGAACGCUGGCGGCGUGCUUAACACAUGCAAGUCUUACGAGAAAGCUUCCUUCGGGAAGUAAGUAAAGUGGCGCACGGGUGAGUAACACGUGAAUAAUCUGCCCUUGAGUUGGGGACAACGGUUGGAAACGACCGCUAAUACCGAAUAAGACCACGAUAUCUUCGGGUAUUAUGGUUAAAGGAGCUUCGGCUUCGUCUUGAGGAUGAGUUCGCGGUCUAUUAGCUUGUUGGUGGGGUAAUGGCCCACCAAGGCGAUGAUAGAUAGCUGGUCUGAGAGGAUGAUCAGCCACACUGGAACUGAGACACGGUCCAG